RNAcentral lists this transfer RNA (70 nucleotides) under Trichonephila inaurata madagascariensis. RNAcentral describes it as "tRNA-Cys". It matches the Rfam family "tRNA". From Rfam's summary of the family: Transfer RNA (tRNA) molecules are approximately 80 nucleotides in length. Lineage: Eukaryota; Metazoa; Arthropoda; Arachnida; Araneae; Nephilidae. The record is from RNAcentral.
GGAUGUAUAGCUCAGUGGUAGAGCGUUCGGCUGCAAAUCGAGAUGUCUCUGGUUCGAAUCCGGGUGUCCC